AUUGAACGCUGGCGGCAUGCCUUACACAUGCAAGUCGAACGGCAGCGCGUCCUUCGGGAUGGCGGCGAGUGGCGAACGGGUGAGUAAUACAUCGGAACGUGCCCGAGAGUGGGGGAUAACGCAGCGAAAGCUGUGCUAAUACCGCAUACGAUCUCAGGAUGAAAGCAGGGGACCGCAAGGCCUUGCGCUCACGGAGCGGCCGAUGGCAGAUUAGGUAGUUGGUGGGAUAAAAGCUUACCAAGCCGACGAUCUGUAGCUGGUCUGAGAGGACGACCAGCCACACUGGGACUGAGACACGGCCCAGACUCCUACGGGAGGCAGCAGUGGGAAUAUUGCACAAUGGGCGAAAGCCUGAUGCAGCGACGCCGCGUGAGGGAUGACGGCCUUCGGUGGUAACCUACUUCUGCAGGGAAGAAAGGCGCAAGUGACGGUACCUGCAG
RNAcentral lists this ribosomal RNA (440 nucleotides) under uncultured bacterium. RNAcentral describes it as "bacterial SSU rRNA". It matches the Rfam family "Bacterial small subunit ribosomal RNA", at positions 29 to 484 of the family's 1533-position model. The record is from RNAcentral.